CCCGCUGAACUUAAGCAUAUCAAUAAGCGGAGGAAAAGAAACUAACAAGGAUUCCCCUAGUAACUGCGAGUGAAGCGGGAAAAGCUCAAAUUUGAAAUCUGGUGGUCUUUGGCCAUCCGAGUUGUAAUUUAGAGAAGCGUCUUCCGCGCUGGACCGUGCACAAGUCUCCUGGAACGGAGCGUCGUAGAGGGUGAGAAUCCCGUCUUUGGCACGGACACACCAGGGCUUUUGCGAUGCGCUCUCGAAGAGUCGAGUUGUUUGGGAAUGCAGCUCAAAAUGGGUGGUGAACUCCAUCUAAAGCUAAAUAUUGGCGAGAGACCGAUAGCGAACAAGUACCGUGAGGGAAAGAUGAAAAGCACUUUGGAAAGAGAGUGAAACAGUACGUGAAAUUGUUGAAAGGGAAACGCUUGAAGUCAGUCGCGUUGGCCAGGGAUCAACCUUGCUUUUGCUUGGCUUACUUUCUGGUCGAUGGGUCAGCAUCAAUUUUGACUGGUGGAAAAAGUUCAAGGGAAUGUGGCAUCUUCGGAUGUGUUAUAGCCUUUGUUCACAUACAUUGGUUGGGAUUGAGGAACUCAGCACGCCGCAAGGCCGGGUUUUUAACCACGUACGUGCUUAGGAUGCUGGCAUAAUGGCUUUAAUCGACCCGUCUUGAAACACGG
RNAcentral lists this ribosomal RNA (659 nucleotides) under uncultured fungus. RNAcentral describes it as "eukaryotic LSU rRNA". It matches the Rfam family "Eukaryotic large subunit ribosomal RNA", at positions 24 to 664 of the family's 3401-position model. The record is from RNAcentral. Lineage: Eukaryota; Fungi.